CACAUCCUGGGGGAGAACCCCAUCUCUGAGAUAUGUUAUCAGUGGGUCGAUCCAGCUGAGCUCGUGGUCAAUUUCCAACAUGGGCCGCGAUUCUUCCAUACUCGGGCACUUGAGCACUUCAAAGAGAACACCCUUGGGUAAUUCGGCCGGAGCCAGCGUUGCCAGCUUGGAGAGAAGGUCGGCCCUGAUAUUUUCCAACCUCAGAAUCUGCCUGAUAUUGAAGCUGCUGAAGGUGGGGAUGAGCUCCUUUACCUUUUCAAGAUAUUUAGCCAUGCUGUCCUCCCGCGCUUCGUAGUUUCCGUUGACUUGUCCCACUACUAGUUGGGAGUCGCUGUGGACCUGGAGCCGAUCUAUUUCUAGCUCUUUGGUGAUCCUCAGUCC
Molecule: long non-coding RNA, 381 nt
Filed under: Elaeis guineensis (African oil palm)
Lineage: Eukaryota; Viridiplantae; Streptophyta; Magnoliopsida; Arecales; Arecaceae
Description: long non-coding RNA (EGUI_LNC077056)
Source: RNAcentral